Molecule: non-coding RNA, 2923 nt
Organism: Vicugna pacos (alpaca)
Lineage: Eukaryota; Metazoa; Chordata; Mammalia; Artiodactyla; Camelidae
Source: RefSeq, a predicted model, not a curated record
GCCUUAAAAGGAGGCUCACGGAACCCAGGGGAGCUGGUUUCUCUUCUGCAGCCCGCACAUCCCUAAGGCUCACCCCAGGGUGGUGUGUGGGGUGUUGGCGGAGUCCCCACCUGCACCUGUGUGCAUCCAAGCAGCACCUGGGCAGUGAGCGCAGAUUGUCUCCAUCCUGGGAGCCUGUUGUGGGCAGAGACCCCCAGAACAUGGACCGAGUGACCAGAUACCCCAUCCUCAGCAUCCCCCGCUCAUCCCGUGUGACCAGUGUGGCCCUCGAUGGGGAUACCAGCUACACUAUUGAGCUGGUGGGCGUGGGGUCCAUGGCCAGUGGCUGGGGCCAGGAUGAGCCACAGGCAUGGCCCACUGACCAUGAGGCCCGGCUGGAAAUGGUGCAGACAGGGACGUCUCGCAGCCUGCAUGCCUGCCCUGGCCAGCUGUCCCCAUGGCCACCCUGCCCAGAGGACGAUGAGGAUGAGGAGGUGAAGGCCUACCACCUGGAGACCAGGGGCACCCAGCCCAGGCGGCCACAGGACCUGGAGCGAGAGCGUCGGGUGGUCAUCCAGGGCCAGGCGGUCAGGAAGAGUGGCACGGUGGCCACACUCCAUGGCACCCCUGACCACGGGGAACCCAGGACCCCCGGCCGACUGCAGGCCACGCCCCCAGAGGAGAACAUGAUCGACAGAGAGCAGAUCGACUUCCUGGCAGCGAGGCAGCAGUUUCUGAGCCUGGAGCAGGCAAACCCCCCUGCCAGGCCAGCCUAUGCGAAUGCGGGGACCCCUCGGAACCGCCCAUUCGGGCCCAGCCAGGCCUCCAAGCCCCCGAACGGGCCGCCCCUGCCCAAUGGGUGUGUCAGCCCAGUCAAGUCCCAGGUGAAGGAGGUGGUCGUGGAGGAGAAGAGGGUCCCUGGUUUGUCUGCCAGGUCUGGUGUCCCAGCCAUGGACGACCCUGCUUCCCAGUCCCGCGCAGAGUCACCAGAGCCCCCCAAGGAGACGCCCAUCGAGCGGGAGAUCCGGCUGGCACAGGAGAGGGAGGCGGACCUCCGAGAGCGGAGGGGGCUGCAGCGGGUGUUCAGCCAGCAGGAGCUGGUGGAGAUCCCCGCCAGGCUGCUGCUGACCAGGGUGAGCCUGGCUGCAGCCCCACGGCGGGGCAGGGGGCGCCCGUCUCUCUACGUGCAGCGGGACCUCGCGCAGGAGACGCAGCGCGAGGAGGACCACCGGCGGGAGGGCCUGCAGGUGGGCCGGUCGGCCACGCCUGACUGCUUCUCUGAGGGCCCGCCACCUGGACUCAGGAGAGCCCACAGCUCAGACUCCAUCCUGGGCCCGGCCCCCGAUGCCAGGGCGGCCAGCCCUGCUCCCGAGGUGAGGAAGGUGAACCGCAUCCCACCUGACGCCUACCAGCCGUACCUGAGCCCCAGAACGCCCCCAGUAGAGUUCCCAGCCUUCCGUGCGAAUCUCAAGCCCAGCAGCCUCCCUGCAGAUAAGGCCAGGGCCGGGAGCGCUCCACAGGCUGCAGCGGCUCAGAGCCUUCUCUCGGAAUCCUCUGGAGAACCCUCGGGCGCAAGGCAGGUGCCCCCCAGGGGCCCCCUGCACCCCAGAGGGCUUGUGCGCCACGAGUACUUCCUCCUGCGCCCCCUGAGGUUUGCGGUCCCGGGUGUGCCUGAGAAAGCUGAGGCCCCCCGAGUUUGGGGCUGGGAGGUGGCGGGGGCCCCGGCGCUGAAGCUGCAGAGGUCCCAGUCAUCUGAGCUGCUGGAGAGGGAGGUGGAGAGUGUCCUGCGGCGGGAGCGGGAGGUGGCCGAAGAGCGGCGGAGUGCUCUGUUCCCUGAGGUCUUCUCCCCACCCCUGCCGGAUGAGUGCUACGACCAAGACUCCAGGAGCUCCUCCCAGGCAUCUGGCAUCACAGGCAGCUACUCAGUGUCUGAGUCACACUUCUUCACCCCAAUUCACCUGCACUCGGGCCUGGCGUGGACAGUGGCAGAGGCCCCGGCCGAGGCUGCCCCUGCACAGAGGAAGAAGAGGGAGCAGUGGGCACUGGGGUCUGAACCCAGGACAUCGUGCAUGCUGAGCACGCGCUCCACCACUGAGCUACACUCUCCUCUCCUUGUUAUUUUUGAUUAUUACCUGCACCUCACGUGGGACGUGCUCAGGGGUCUGCACGUGCUGUGGCUUUAACACCCUGGACAGAUGUUUUGUCCCCAGUUUUUUUAGAGAAAGCCAAAGUCACGCACACGCAGGGUCACAUGGCCAGGUCCCCGAGCCAGGACUUGAGCCCAGGCCUGGCUCUGAACCCCACAUUGGCAGCCACGAGGCUGCCUCCUCCCUGGGUGGGUAUUGUUGGCACCAGGGAGAAAAACAUCGCCCCCAGGCUCGCCCUCCUGGCGGUCACAGCCUGUUCUGGUGGUUUGGGGCAGAGUGGAGCCCAGGGACCUGGGUUCAAGUCCCAGCCCUGCCACUGGCUGGCUGUAUGAUGUUGGGCCCCUCUCUGACCCUCAGUCUCCUCCUCUGUAAAAUGAGCAUGGUAAUGAGAACAGACUCCUUCAAACCUUCGAGGGCCUGGUGGCAGCAAGAGCUCCAUAAAUGUCAACUGUCUUUAUUACAAGGAAGUUUACAAAGAGAAAACAGCUGCAAAUGGUGGCCCAAGGCAUCCCUAAGGGGACUAGUGUGAGGGAACAGCCUGGUGGAUGGCUCUGAGUUUGGGGUGACCAAGCGGCACUGGGGGGACCACUGUGGCCCGGGAUCGCUUCCCUUCUGCCCUAAGUGGUGACUGAGUGGGCUCUGGGGUGGGACAGGGUGGAAGACCCCAGGGAAUGACGUCUGUUCCUCCCUGCAGUAUGCUGGCAUCAGCCCCUUGGACCACAUUAACUCGGAGGUCCUGGAAGCCACGCGGGUGACCCGCCACAAGAACGCCAUGGCUGAGCGCUGGGAAGCCCGCG